RNA transcript from Bombina bombina (fire-bellied toad), 714 nucleotides. RefSeq lists it as uncharacterized. The record is from RefSeq and is a predicted model, not a curated record. Lineage: Eukaryota; Metazoa; Chordata; Amphibia; Anura; Bombinatoridae. The transcript has 2 exons.
CUCCGGUAUACCCGUUUCCAGUUACUGGGAGCCGUUGGAGUUUUUGUGUGCUAUGUGCACUGAUGAUGACUCAAUCCUUGGCAUGGAGGAAAUCACGGAGGUGGAAGUCUGACAAUAUGGGCUGCAUGACUACAAAAGGUGUUGGGGAGAUGACAUUUAUAGAUGGCACCAUAAAAUCCUGAUAUAUACCAAAAUACUGGCUGACAAGAUGACUCCCAGUCUCCAGAAGUUUGGCAAAGGACGAAUAGUCCAGCAUGAUAACAAUCCAAAGCACACUGCCAAAAUCACACAGGAGUUUCUAAAGGAGAAACAAGUGAAAACUAUGACCUGGCCAAGUAUGCCACCUGACUUGAAUCCAGUAAAACACCUUUGGGGUAUUUUAAAAAGAAUGGUAGAGCAACACAACCCCUCCAGCAAAGAGCAGCUGAAAAAAAUAUAUAUUUGAAGAAGGGCAGAAAAUCUCUCCAGGAUUGAUUGUAAUAUAUAUUUAAUAAAGAGGAGUGUUUAAUUCAGCACUGGCUUAAAUGCCACAAGUCCUCUAUUUUCCCCUAAUCUCCCUUUGUGAUCCUGACCCUGGCUCGUCUGACUACCCACUUUGGUUCCUGACCCGGCUCGUCUGACUACCUGCUCUGGCUUUGACUCCUGGUUUGCCAUUUGGAUUUUGGACUCGUUAAAAGUUUUUGUUAUUUUUUAAUAAAGGUGUGAUUAAUUUAG